UGCAAGUCGAACGAGCGAGAGAGAGCUUGCUUUCUCAAGCGAGUGGCGAACGGGUGAGUAACGCGUGAGGAACCUGCCUCAAAGAGGGGGACAACAGUUGGAAACGACUGCUAAUACCGCAUAAGCCCACGACCCGGCAUCGGGUAGAGGGAAAAGGAGCAAUCCGCUUUGAGAUGGCCUCGCGUCCGAUUAGCUAGUUGGUGAGGUAACGGCCCACCAAGGCGACGAUCGGUAGCCGGACUGAGAGGUUGAACGGCCACAUUGGGACUGAGACACGGCCCAGACUCCUACGGGAGGCAGCAGUGGGGAAUAUUGCACAAUGGGGGAAACCCUGAUGCAGCGACGCCGCGUGGAGGAAGAAGGUCUUCGGAUUGUAAACUCCUGUUGUUGAGGAAGAUAAUGACGGUACUCAACAAGGAAGUGACGGCUAACUACGUGCCAGCAGCCGCGGUAAAACGUAGGUCACAAGCGUUGUCCGGAAUUACUGGGUGUAAAGGGAGCGCAGGCGGGAAGACAAGUUGGAAGUGAAAUCCAUGGGCUCAACCCAUGAACUGCUUUCAAAACUGUUUUUCUUGAGUAGUGCAGAGGUAGGCGGAAUUCCCGGUGUAGCGGUGGAAUGCGUAGAUAUCGGGAGGAACACCAGUGGCGAAGGCGGCCUACUGGGCACCAACUGACGCUGAGGCUCGAAAGUGUGGGUAGCAAACAGGAUUAGAUACCCUGGUAGUCCACACUGUAAACGAUGAUUACUAGGUGUUGGAGGAUUGACCCCUUCAGUGCCGCAGUUAACACAAUAAGUAAUCCACCUGGGGAGUACGACCGCAAGGUUGAAACUCAAAGGAAUUGACGGGGGCCCGCACAAGCAGUGGAGUAUGUGGUUUAAUUCGACGCAACGCGAAGAA
Molecule: ribosomal RNA, 899 nt
Filed under: uncultured bacterium
Lineage: Bacteria
Description: bacterial SSU rRNA
Rfam family: Bacterial small subunit ribosomal RNA
Source: RNAcentral